RNAcentral lists this ribosomal RNA (427 nucleotides) under uncultured bacterium. RNAcentral describes it as "bacterial SSU rRNA". It matches the Rfam family "Bacterial small subunit ribosomal RNA", at positions 355 to 774 of the family's 1533-position model. The record is from RNAcentral.
UAGGGAAUAUUGGACAAUGGGGGCAACCCUGAUCCAGCCAUGCCGCGUGAGUGAAGAAGGCCCUCGGGUUGUAAAGCUCUUUUGUCCGGAAAGAAAAGCUUCGGGUUAAUACCCCGGGGUUCUGACGGUACCGGAAGAAUAAGCACCGGCUAACUUCGUGCCAGCAGCCGCGGUAAUACGAAGGGUGCAAGCGUUACUCGGAAUUACUGGGCGUAAAGCGUGCGUAGGUGGUUUUCUAAGUUCGGUGUGAAAUCUCCCGGCUUAACUGGGAGGGUGCUCCAAAGACUGGGAAGCUGGAGUGUGGGAAAGGCAGGCGGAAUUCCUGGUGUAGCGGUGAAAGGCGUAGAUAUCAGGAGGAACACCGGCGGUGUAGACGGCUUGCUAGACCAUAACUGACGCUGAGGCACGAAAGCGUGGGUAGCAAACA